CUUCUGUGAUGAGAAAAUACAGAUGAAGAGUCUUAUCUAAUCCAUUCCAUUAACCAUGGGGACAAUCGAGGCAUUUGUCUGAGAGAA
This 87-nucleotide small nucleolar RNA is filed under the name Setaria italica (foxtail millet). Its description in RNAcentral is "snoRNA SNOR75". It matches the Rfam family "Plant small nucleolar RNA SNOR75". Rfam says of the family: U15 is a member of the C/D class of snoRNA which contain the C (UGAUGA) and D (CUGA) box motifs. RNAcentral also lists the same sequence under 1 other name. Lineage: Eukaryota; Viridiplantae; Streptophyta; Magnoliopsida; Poales; Poaceae. The record is from Rfam by way of RNAcentral.